AUGCGAUAACUAGUGUGAAUUGCAGAAUUCCGUGAAUCAUCGAGUCUUUGAACGCACAUUGCGCCCCCUGGUAUUCCGGGGGGCAUGCCUGUCCGAGCGUCAUUGCUGCCCAUCAAGCACGGCUUGUGUGUUGGGUCGUCGUCCCCUCUCCGGGGGGGACGGGCCCCAAAGGCAGCGGCGGCACCGCGUCCGAUCCUCGAGCGUAUGGGGCUUUGUCACCCGCUCUGUAGGCCCGGCCGGCGCUUGCCGAACGCAAAUCAAUCUUUUUCCAGGUUGACCUCGGAUCAGGUAGGGAUACCCGCUGAACUUAA
This 311-nucleotide unclassified non-coding RNA is filed under the name uncultured Aspergillus. Its description in RNAcentral is "partial contains 5.8S ribosomal RNA, internal transcribed spacer 2, and large subunit ribosomal RNA". The stretch from base 1 to 102 matches the Rfam family "5.8S ribosomal RNA", at positions 53 to 154 of the family's 154-position model. Lineage: Eukaryota; Fungi; Ascomycota; Eurotiomycetes; Eurotiales; Aspergillaceae. The record is from RNAcentral.